GAUGAUAUGCCCCCCAACUCACUUUCAGCUCCUCCGCUGGAUACGGUGAUGUCACCCAGAUAAGCAAUCCCCGGUGUGGUGCUGUCUGCUGAAUGGGAUAGGCUGUCAUCCCUGAGAAGUCCCAUGUGCGUGCACAGUCCAAAGAAAUGCAGGCUAGAGACGAGCCAAGUGCACACCCACUCAGUGAUGGCCUUAGCUGCGCAGCUGUGCCGGUAAUCCUGCCGCUGCACAAAGAGACGCCUUGACAACCGACCUACCUUCCUCUCUCUCUCACAAAAAAAGGCAUAGAGAGGAAAAAAAGAAAAUACGGAGGCAUAAACAAAUGCGACCAUGUACAGUGUGGAGGACCUCCUCAUCUCUCAUGGAUACAAGCUGCCCAUGCAUACCACCUCCUCCUCCAUCCCUACCCCGGCCCCCGCCUCCUUGUCCCGCCAGCAGCCUUCGUCCUCACCGCCGUCCUACAGCCGACACCAUGAAUUCCUGGAGAACAGGCCCAGGAUGUCUUAUGGGAACGGGAGCGAAUCCAGGCAGCCACAAGGGUACGCCAGCGGCUGUCCCAACAACAACAACGGACCCAGGGACAGGGGCCAGUCCAGGCGGGAGGGCGAGAACCGGUGCCAAAUGGACACCCACUCCUUGGGAGAGUCGCUGACCUCAGACAGCGG
This is a long non-coding RNA of Gasterosteus aculeatus aculeatus (three-spined stickleback), 665 nucleotides long. The record is from Ensembl. Lineage: Eukaryota; Metazoa; Chordata; Actinopteri; Perciformes; Gasterosteidae.